AUAGCGUAUAUUUAAGUUGUUGCAGUUAAAAAGCUCGUAGUUGAACCUUGGGCCUGGCUGGCCGGUCCGCCUCACCGCGUGCACUGGUCCGGCCGGGCCUUUCCUUCUGGGGAGCCGCAUGCCCUUCACUGGGUGUGUCGGGGAACCAGGACUUUUACUUUGAAAAAAUUAGAGUGUUCAAAGCAGGCCUAUGCUCGAAUACAUUAGCAUGGAAUAAUAAAAUAGGACGUGUGGUUUUAUUUUGUUGUUUUCUAGAGCCGCCGUAAUGAUUAAUAGGGAUAGUCGGGGGCAUCAGUAUUCAAUUGUCAGAGGUGAAAUUCUUGGAUUUAUUGAAGACUAACUACUG
This 346-nucleotide ribosomal RNA is filed under the name uncultured eukaryote. RNAcentral describes it as "SSU rRNA". It matches the Rfam family "Eukaryotic small subunit ribosomal RNA", at positions 594 to 945 of the family's 1831-position model. The record is from RNAcentral.